CACUAGAGCCUCAUGUCCCUCCUAUAUAUAGUAAUAUACUUUAUCAAUCACCAUCAUUCUCACUACCACUCAGCCUAUCUGCAGAGAUGAUGAGGGCUACCGACACUGAAGUGGACGACGAUGACGAUGAUGGAAUCCAAUUCUAGCAUGAAUCGGCCUCUUCAUGUAUUCUUCGACAUUGAAUCAAUGAGUUACCAUGUUUAUAAGUAAUUCCUCUCUUCGUUUAUGCUUUCAUUCUAUUCUUUGAUGUGUCAAUCUGCCUUUUUCCUUUAUAAAAUUCACGUAAACAAUAAAAGAAGUGGAGUCUAAUAAAUUAUAUCUAAUGACUUGUUAUUUUUGCAGUGUGCAUGUUUUGUGGUUUUACUGCAACAAGAAAAGACGGAAGGUCUGAUUCACAUGGAAAGAAAACACUAACUCUUUUGUCUUCCUUUCCUCCGAUGGCAACCUUGAGCUAUCUCGUCUCUUGUUGCAAGAUCAGCCCAUUGCAUGCCGAUCGUAUUUAUCCUUUAAAGUACGAUCACAAUUAUUUAGGAGGUUCAUCAACAUAUAAUUAAGCAACAAUGAAUUGUUUGUUAGUUAUUUUUUUCGAGUCCAUAUACAUAUACAUAUAUAUAUAUAUAUAUAUAUACACACACACACGCUCUAAAUUCUGACCAUCUUUUAUUCAUGUCUUCAUCUCAGGUCUACCACUAGCUUUUUGGAUGACCAAUCACAAGUUUGGGUACCUUCAAAAUCUACCGGAGAUGAACAAGUUUACAGGUGAAUCCUGAGCCUUCUUUGUGAGGAAGCAUGAAAGCUUCAAAGUAAUCAUGGUUUCAAAAAGUAGCAACCUUUAAUGUGGGAGAUAUAGGAAGAAUUUAACAAAAUAAUAAGUAGAAUAUGCCUUGCAUAAUGAUUUAGACUUGGACAAUCAGAAGGAAUUAAUUUGCAUAAGAGAGGACUUUUUUCUGGCCAUUAGCUUCAUAGUGUAAAAUGUAAACUGGUAUUGUAAUACGAAUUUCCAUUUAUUGUCUCGAUUAUUUAAAGUAAAUUCCCACAUUUGUAGCUUCAUCUUUUAUUUGAUAGUUUACCAUAUAAAGAGCAAUUUACUUUAGACUUUUUGUGUUUGCAUCUACAUUACCUAUUAAAUCAUAUAUUUAAGCAGAUGAUCCUCCAUACAGGAAUGGAAUAAGUGAACGUAUCAAAUGAUAAAAGGAUGGCUUUGCUACUGAGACAGAAGCUCACAUACAAGGAUCUGAAUUUUUUCCUUUUAGUUUAAAACUUACUCCUAUAUAUGUUUAACAAAAUAUUAUUUUUGCUAUAACGUUAUCGACUCCUGUAUAUAUGCCAUGAGAUCAUGGGGAAAUUUUGAUUUGAUGUUUGGGAGUUGGAGGGGGAAAUUUGGGACAUCCUUGCUCACAAAGUUGCAUUGUAUAAUAGCAAUCAGUUCUGCCCAAGAUUAAACAGCAAUAGCAAGGUCUGCCAGUUUUACAGUGAGCAACAUGCUUGCAAAAGUCUAAUUGUAUAUUUUCCUCUUUGGUAGCUUUCAGUUUUCUGUCAAAUUCUCCAACAUAAAGUUUGUUGCCUUCUAUGUUUUCCCAACCUGUUUGAAGAGAAAAUGGAAUAAAAGGACUUUAAGUGCCAACAAAAGUAUGAGCAAUUUAACUUCGCACAAGAUAAAAAAUAAUUUAUUAGGAAAGAGAGAAAACAAUAUUUGAUUAAUUAGGCAAGUACAACAAAUAAAAAAAGAUACAUCUCACAAUUAAUUUAUGAUAAUCUCACAAGUAGACUUUCAUACCAAAGAGGGUGGGAAUAAUGAGAAAGAACACAACAAACUUAGUAGGAAAAUCCAUGAAUUAAUUGUAAGGCCAAUCUUAGAUCUUGAUAAACAAGUAGACUAGUCUCGCUGCAUAUCCAAGAUGUGGACGAUAAGAAUAUAUGGGGAUGAAGAAUUUAUUGAUUGAGGCAACUUGAGGGAU
This 1958-nucleotide long non-coding RNA is filed under the name Nicotiana tabacum (common tobacco). RNAcentral describes it as "long non-coding RNA (NTAB_LNC015533)". Lineage: Eukaryota; Viridiplantae; Streptophyta; Magnoliopsida; Solanales; Solanaceae. The record is from RNAcentral.